This 484-nucleotide long non-coding RNA is filed under the name Phoenix dactylifera (date palm). RNAcentral's name for it is "long non-coding RNA (PDAC_LNC022671)". Lineage: Eukaryota; Viridiplantae; Streptophyta; Magnoliopsida; Arecales; Arecaceae. The record is from RNAcentral.
AAUCCUAAACCCUAAAACCCUAACCUUAAAACCCAAACCCUAAAAACCUAAAACCUAAAACCUAAACCCCAAAACCUAAAACCCAAAACCAAAACCCAAAACCUAAAACCCCAAACCUUAAACCCCAAACCCCAAACCCUAAACCCCAAAUCCUAAACCCCAAACCCCCAAACCUAAACCCCCAAACCCUAAACCCCCAAUCCCUAAACUCCAAACCCGAAAACCCCAAACCCGAAAAUCCGAACCCCGAAAAAUCCGAACCCCGAACCCCGAACCCUCAACCCUGAACCCCCAACCAUGAAACCCUAAAACCUAAAACCUAAACCCUAAACUCUAAACCCAAACCCAAAAUCCUAAACCCAAAAUCCUAAACCCUAAACCCAAAAAUCCUAAAACCCAAAAACCCUAGAUCCUAAACCAAAAACCCUGGACCCUAAACCAAAAACCCUAGACCCUAGACCCUAGACCCUAGAACCUAGACCCU